Molecule: unclassified non-coding RNA, 692 nt
Filed under: Dermacentor andersoni
Lineage: Eukaryota; Metazoa; Arthropoda; Arachnida; Ixodida; Ixodidae
Description: uncharacterized LOC126546520
Source: RNAcentral
AGGCAUCCCGCAGCCAAUAUCUGUCGAGUGGAUCCCACGCGACCUUAUAAGCUUCCAAGGCCGUGCAGAUUCUGCGACCCGUCCAGCGGCCUCUCCAUCGUCACUGCCUCAACUCUUUCACCUAGAUGAUGCCACCCUCCUUUUAACAAGAAAGGAGCACCUCCGGCGCCGCACACGUGCUCUCAUACCUCAGUGUGCGGUAAACCUCCCCUGCGGUCUUACCCGUGCGGAGGAGGUUGCGCUUCGGAGGAUCCGGGUCGGGGUUGCCCUCACUCCUGCCGUGACUAGGAAGUGGCCGCACUUUCGCCCGUUAUAUCCUCGUCCUGAGUGUCCACUCUGCAAGUCGCGAAAUGCUGAAGCCGACAUCCACCACCUGCUGUGGGUGUGCCCUGCACAUGAAACCGACGAGGCUCCGGCACCUCGCAGCAGCGGCACUCUCGCUGCAUAAUCUGAGCGAUUACACUGCUUGGACACAGGGACCGCAUUAUCGAUCCCUCUUGGAUUUCAUUAGAUCCCCUACACAAAGUGCAAGAAAUGGCAGUCCGGGUGUUCAGAAAUUUUGAGCCUGAAUUGCAUGGCCGCUCAUGAAAAGUUCUGUACAUUUCGUCGGUGGAGAGUGCCGGAGAAGCCGGAGGACCAGGUCCAACCGCGGGGUCCCGACAGCUCACCCGGUCGAGCGAUGGCGGAGAGCG